CAGCAGCCACGGGAAUACGGAGGAUCCAAGCGUUAUCCGGAAUCAUUGGGUUUAAAGGGUCCGUAGGCGGUCUUGUAAGUCAGUGGUGAAAGCCCAUCGCUCAACGGUGGAACGGCCAUUGAUACUGCAGGACUUGAAUUAUUGGGAAGUAACUAGAAUAUGUAGUGUAGCGGUGAAAUGCUUAGAGAUUACAUGGAAUACCAAUUGCGAAGGCAGGUUACUACCAAUUGAUUGACGCUGAUGGACGAAAGCGUGGGUAGCGAACAGGAUUAGAUACCCCUGUAGUCCCUGUCUCUUAUAC
Molecule: ribosomal RNA, 301 nt
Filed under: uncultured bacterium
Lineage: Bacteria
Description: partial 16S ribosomal RNA
Rfam family: Bacterial small subunit ribosomal RNA
Source: RNAcentral